This 854-nucleotide long non-coding RNA is filed under the name Brassica napus (rape). RNAcentral describes it as "long non-coding RNA (BNAP_LNC025546)". The record is from RNAcentral. Lineage: Eukaryota; Viridiplantae; Streptophyta; Magnoliopsida; Brassicales; Brassicaceae.
GCCAUAAAGAAUUAUAAUUAACAAACUAUGUACAUCGAUAUCUCACCAAUUCACAUUAAAAAUAGGGAAUUUGCAGUAGAUAGCGUAGAAAGAAAAUUUAAUUAAGGAUAUGGAAAGUGUACUGUACAUUUCUCAUAAUUCCACAGAUACCCCUAGAUGUACUAUAAUGUAGGUCUGUCUAAUUUGUUGUGUGAUUCAACUCGAAACAGAGCUUCUCUUCAAGUUUCUUCCUUUUAUCUCUAUUUUCUUUGGGUUGAUUAAUAAAUCGGCUUGUCCGAGUGUAAUAGUGUCGCCCCUUCCGCAAAUUAUUCAUAUCCCGUGUUAAUGGAGUUUAGUUUCUCAGAUGUAAAGGAUGGUUGAGUUUUUGGAUUCAUCUCGAUUAACUUCAGAAAGAUUCAGCAAAGUUGGCAUAUUUUAUCUUGAAGAUGAUCCAAUAUCUAUUUAAAGUUGAUUGAGUCUUCCCGGAAUUAACUGUCGGUGUUUGAUGAAGCCUUUGCUCAAAAGCAUGGUUAUGGCGAAGUAUAAGAUCAAAGGUACAUAAUAAUGGUGGUUCAGCUGUUGAGGAAGAGAAGAUUAAAGCUGCGUUACAGGCUGGAUGAUCUUGCCGGCGAGGAUUCCGAAAGAAAUCGACGGAGCUAGUACCGAGAUCGCAUGACUUUUCCUUAACACGUGUAAUACUUUUGGUGCUUAUCAUACACGUGUAUGGUUUAUAGCUUUUGUGUUGUAAGCGUGUAUGGUUAUUAUAUGUACUUUUAUCUUGGGUUGACAAAAAAAAAUGGCUUAAAGCGUUAAGGAGACUUCAUUCAUUUUACACAUUUUGCAUGCACAUCGAUGCAAAUACUUUUGAAUUUAUA